ACAAAGGGAGAAAGGGACCACAUGGGAGAAUCGGGGAGCUUUGCAUGAAGAUCCGCGUGUGCUUCCUCUUUGGGAUGUUCUCCCACGUGUUUCUGUUUCCCUUUUCUCUUUCUUUAUUACUCUCCUUUCUUCUUCUUAUCAUACAACAUCAAAAUGUCAAAGACUCUACUUCCUUGUAUAGAUUUGUCCUCAAUCUGAGCAAACCCACACAGAGCAUACCCUUGAACUAUGUGUGGCAGCUUGAUCCUGUCACAUAGAGAACAAGAACAUACACUCUAUCUGGCUGUACCAACUUAGGUCUCCUUUAACUGGG
Molecule: small RNA, 313 nt
Filed under: Arabidopsis thaliana (thale cress)
Lineage: Eukaryota; Viridiplantae; Streptophyta; Magnoliopsida; Brassicales; Brassicaceae
Description: putative long intergenic non-coding RNA
Source: RNAcentral